UACGGAAGGCAGCAGUGGGGAAUAUUGCACAAUGGGCGCAAGCCUGAUGCAGCCAUGCCGCGUGUAUGAAGAAGGCCUUCGGGUUGUAAAGUACUUUCAGCGGGGAGGAAGGCGAUGCGGUUAAUAACCGCGUCGAUUGACGUUACCCGCAGAAGAAGCACCGGCUAACUCCGUGCCAGCAGCCGCGGUAAUACGGAGGGUGCAAGCGUUAAUCGGAAUUACUGGGCGUAAAGCGCACGCAGGCGGUCUGUUUAAGUCAGAUGUGAAAUCCCCGGGCUUAACCUGGGAACUGCAUUUUGAAACUGGCAGGCUUGAGUCUUGUAGAGGGGGUAGAAUUCCAGGUGUAGCGGUGAAAUGCGUAGAGAUCUGGAGGAAUACCGGUGGCGAAGGCGGCCCCUGGGACAAAGCUGACGCUCAGGUGCGAAAGCGUGGGGAGCAAACGAGGAUUAGGAUACC
RNAcentral lists this ribosomal RNA (456 nucleotides) under uncultured bacterium. RNAcentral describes it as "bacterial SSU rRNA". It matches the Rfam family "Bacterial small subunit ribosomal RNA", at positions 340 to 786 of the family's 1533-position model. The record is from RNAcentral.